Molecule: ribosomal RNA, 498 nt
Filed under: uncultured bacterium
Lineage: Bacteria
Description: partial 16S ribosomal RNA
Rfam family: Bacterial small subunit ribosomal RNA
Source: RNAcentral
AUUGAACGCUGGCGGCAUGCCUUACACAUGCAAGUCGAACGGUAACGCGGGGCAACCUGGCGACGAGUGGCGAACGGGUGCGUAAUGCAUCGGAACGUGCCCAUUAGCGGGGGGUAGCCCGGCGAAAGCCGGCUUAAUACCGCAUACGACCUACGGGAGAAAGCGGGGGAUCGCAAGCCCUCGCGCUAUUGGAGCGGCCGAUGUCAGAUUAGGUAGUUGGUGGGGUAAAGGCCUACCAAGCCUGCGAUCUGUACCUGGCCUGAGAGGACGACCAGCCACACUGGGACUGAGACACGGCCCAGGCUCCUACGGGAGGCAGCAGGGGGGAAUUUUGGACAAUGGGGGCAACCCUGAUCCAGCCAUGCCGCGUGCGGGAAGAAGGCCUUCGGGUUGUAAACCGCUUUUGUCGGGGAAGAAAUCUUCCGGGCUAAUACCCCGAAGGGAUGACGGUACCCGGAGAAUAAGCACCGGCUAACUACGUGCCAGCAGCCGCCGUAA